CUAUGAGUGUCUUGGGUGAGAAAUAACCUAGAUCAUCAUCACCACUACAUAAUGCCUCAAGUUCAAAAUCCUGUUAAGUGCUAACAACACCUGAACCUUCGUGGCCCUCUCACAGGCUGAGAUAGCAUUGGCCAAACCCUCCCCCUCUGUACAAAGUGCAGGUCAUCAGCAUGGAGACCUCCCAGUUCUGUGUAUUAGUAAUCUAAAAGGAAAGGAAUGGAGGCUUCUUUCCCAUGGACCCAGGAUUGAGAGAAUCUCUAUUGCUACCACAGAAGAACUUUUUCAGAAAGAUGUGAUUACUGAGCCAAGCCUCACCUAUUUCCUGAAGAUGAGAUUAGAUGUCUCUCCUGUGAGUGUCACCUGCAAGGCUGAUUUGAUCUUCAACAGCUAAUCGGACAUCCAGACAGCCAUGCACCCUCUUCUUGUAACCAAAAUUCUGUUUGUUUAGCCACAUCAUGAACUCUGUUUUGGUUUCAGAGCUCUUGGCUGAGGGAAGAUCUGACGAAGGGUCUCUUUAGACCACAAACAUAAAGGUCUUGGCAACAGAUGGACCUCAUCAUACAUGUUUUCUCAUUGAGUAUUUGUGGGAUUGAAAGUAAUCUCUGGGUAUUUUGCUUUGGGAGAAAGAAUGAUCAAGGCAACCCGUUGUUCAGAUGACCACUGAGAAACAUAGAAGAGGCUGACUGGGAUAAUGAAGGCAUCUGUAAGACACUUGAAAUGAAGAGACACAGCUUAGAGAAGAGAUACAACUGGAGGGAACCUGAUCACCAUCUCAAAUGUUGAGACUGUCCUGUAGGGGACGGUAUCACUCUGACUCACUUCUAGAAUAGUUACCAGCUAGAUCUUAAUCUCAAGUAGGUUAUGAAUAGUGUCUGCCACAUUGCAUUGUAUCUCCCAGGCCUGGCAUGGUAAUGG
Molecule: long non-coding RNA, 915 nt
Organism: Suricata suricatta (meerkat)
Lineage: Eukaryota; Metazoa; Chordata; Mammalia; Carnivora; Herpestidae
Exons: 5
Source: RefSeq, a predicted model, not a curated record